Molecule: ribosomal RNA, 433 nt
Filed under: uncultured bacterium
Lineage: Bacteria
Description: partial 16S ribosomal RNA
Rfam family: Bacterial small subunit ribosomal RNA
Source: RNAcentral
AACGAACGCUGGCGGCAGGCCUAACACAUGCAAGUCGAGCGGACCUUUCGGGGUCAGCGGCGGACGGGUGAGUAACGCGUGGGAAUAUGCCCUUCUCUACGGAAUAGUCCUGGGAAACUGGGGGUAAUACCGUAUACGCCCUUUGGGGGAAAGAUUUAUCGGGGAAGGAUUAGCCCGCGUUGGAUUAGGUAGUUGGUGGGGUAAUGGCCUACCAAGCCGACGAUCCAUAGCUGGUUUGAGAGGAUGAUCAGCCACACCGGGACUGAGACACGGCCCAGACUCCUACGGGAGGCAGCAGUGGGGAAUCUUAGACAAUGGGGGCAACCCUGAUCUAGCCAUGCCGCGUGAGUGAUGAAGGCCUUAGGGUUGUAAAGCUCUUUCAGCUGGGAAGAUAAUGACGGUACCAGCAGAAGAAGCCCCGGCUAACUCCGUG